Molecule: long non-coding RNA, 1111 nt
Organism: Nelumbo nucifera (sacred lotus)
Lineage: Eukaryota; Viridiplantae; Streptophyta; Magnoliopsida; Proteales; Nelumbonaceae
Source: RefSeq, a predicted model, not a curated record
CCACUCCCACAAGGGGGUGAAUGUGUGCGCGGUUUGGUUUAUCUCUGCCUUCCAUUGCUGUGCAACUGGAUUAGUGUGUAUGCGGUUCGGUCAUGGUCUAACUUUUUGUUCCCAGUCACCCAAAUUAUGUCAUGUUGAUUGGAUGUAAACUGGACGGAAUCUCUCUGUAGAGAGGGUAGGAAAUUUCCGAGUCACAUACUCUCCUCUUCUACCUGAUUGCUUUAAAAGUUGAAUGCUAAUUGAUUAGCUGGACAUGGACAUAGAAAAUUUCCUUUCCUUCCGUUCCCAUCUCCGAAGAAUGUGAAGAUGAGAAGGUUGGGGAUUGUCCUUCUGCCCAGAAUCCACUACCCAAGUGAUAGAUCACUAUCAUCCUUGUUGUUCCGAGGUCUCAGCAGCUGUAACUGAAAGUUGAUCAAACAGGUUUACAGCUUGACAAGGGUUUUGGCACGCCAAAAUUUAUACGCCAAACAAAGACAGAGUGUUUUAUGGUUUUCUUUUCUCCAUUAUUGAAUGGGAAGACACCCAACUGAGAAUGACAUGUAUGCAUAAAGUGACAAAACCCCAACAUGAUGGGGGAAGCCAAACAAAAAGAAUGAAAGCAACAAGUGUAUAGUGAAGAAUAAGUUGGGUGAGGAAGAGCUUUCCUAUACAGGUACUGAGUAUACUGCUUCAGAUAAAAAAAGAAAAAAAAUCCAGAUUAAGAAAACCAUGGAACCCCAGAAUAUAUACCAAGAGAUCGAAGGAAUGGAGAAACUGAACCCACGUACACAAAUGGGAUGUCUCUUGUCACUACCCAUGAAACAUGGGGUCUCAUCUCAUCUAUCCCCCUCAGAAGAUAAACAUCCAUGGAGCUGGCACCAAUCCACACGUCGGCCGGGGGGAUCGGAUCUCCGGUGAGAACUGAUCCAGGCGUCCAGAUCCUACUUCUGUCUGCGUCGCUUGUGGCAAUCAAGUUGGCGUGAAGCAACCAUGACAGGCCUCAACGUUUCUGGCUUCUGCUGCUGCUGAUGAGCUUAGAAAUUAUUAUUAUUAUUAUUAUUGUUAUUUGGACUUCCAUUAAUGGUUUCUCUGUUGUUAGUUAUAAUAAUAUUUCUUUUAAUUCAAUUACUAA